Molecule: RNA transcript, 2431 nt
Organism: Musa acuminata AAA Group (dessert banana)
Lineage: Eukaryota; Viridiplantae; Streptophyta; Magnoliopsida; Zingiberales; Musaceae
Exons: 9
Source: RefSeq, a predicted model, not a curated record
CCAAGAAAUUGCAUUUAGGGCUUUACGCGGGACACAGAUGGAGGGUUCAGAUUGCCCCUCCUGACCACCCGCGCCGCCCUCUCUCCUACUACGCCUAAAACCCUUCGCCAAGUCCCCUAAGACCACACGAUUCUCUUCGUAAUGCUCCGGCUGUCGCGCUCCGCCGCCGCCCUUUCGGCGACAGCGGCGGCCGCGGCUGCUCUCGCGGCGCUUUCUGACCACACCUACGCCGAUGGCCCUUUUCGUUUCCCUUAUCUCUCCUCCCCCUCUCCUACUCCUGCGGCGCCAGCUGUGCCGACCGCGGGGACCCGCCCACCGGGAGAGGCUCCAGGUGCGGCCUCUUCGUCGUCCACAUCGUCCGGUGGGUUUGAUCCUGAGGCGCUGGAGAGAGGGGCGAAGGCGUUGAGGGAGAUCAAUAGCUCCCCUCAUGCGAAGCAGGUGUUUGAGCUGAUGAGGAAGCAGGAGGAGACGCGGUUGGCAGAGGUGGCUGCCGAGAAGACCCAGUAUCUUGCGAUUCAAGCUGAGGGUGAAAUUGAAAAGCAAAGAAAACUGGCUGAAGAACAGAGGAACUUAGUCCAACAACAAGCACAAGCUAAGGCACAAAUGGCACGCUAUGAAGAUGAAUUGGCAAGGAAAAGGAUGCAGAUAGAACAUGAAGCCCAGAGGAGGCAGAAUGUCGAACUUGUAAGGAUGCAAGAAGAAUCCUCUGUAAGAAAGGAACAAGUAAGGCGUGCUACAGAAGAACAAAUCCAGGCACAAUUGCGUCAGACUGAAAAAGAGAGAGCUGAAAUAGAGCGUGAAACAAUAAGAGUUAAAGCCAUGGCAGAGGCUGAAGGUCGGGCUCAUGAAGCGAAACUCACGGAAGAGCAUAACCGAAAAAUGCUUUUAGAACACAUGAAGGGUGAACGCGAGAAGUGGAUUGCUGCAAUUAAUACAACCUUUAGCCACAUAGAAGGUGGUUUGAGGAUGUUACUGACUGAUCGGGGUACACUAAUUAUGGCUGUUGGAGGAGUAACUGCCCUUGCUGCUGGCGUCUACACUACUAGGGAAGGUGCAAGGGUUAUUUGGGGUUAUGUCAAUAGGAUAUUAGGCCAGCCAUCACUAAUACGUGAAUCGUCAAUAGCCAAAUUUCCAUGGUCUGGACUGGCACCUAAGAUCAAAAAAAUUGUUUCAAGUUCUGGGGCUGCACUUGGAAAAGAGACAUCGUUAGAAAAUGGGUCUAAUUUUGACAAAAUUAUUCUUCAUCCUUCUCUAAAGAAAAGGAUUGAGCAACUUGCUAGAGCAACAGAAAAUACCAAGUCACAUCAAGCACCUUUUCGUAACAUGCUGUUUUAUGGACCUCCUGGUACCGGGAAGACCUUGGUUGCUAGAGAGAUUGCUCGCAAAUCGGGCCUGGAUUAUGCGAUGAUGACUGGGGGGGAUGUUGCGCCACUGGGUUCAGAGGCUGUCACAAAAAUCCAUCAGAUAUUUGAUUGGGCUAAAAAGUCAAGAAAAGGUUUAUUGCUUUUUAUCGAUGAAGCUGAUGCUUUUUUGUGCGAGCGGAACAGUAUACAUAUGAGUGAAGCCCAGCGGAGUGCAUUGAAUGCAUUGCUUUUUCGAACCGGUGACCAAUCAAGGGAUACAGUUCUUGUCCUGGCUACAAAUAGACCUGGUGACCUAGAUGCAGCUGUCACGGACCGAAUGGAUGAAGUAAUUGAGUUUCCACUGCCUGGCGAAGAAGAACGUUACAAGUUGUUGAAGCUCUACCUAGGACAAUAUAUAUUGCAAGAAGGCGAUGGCCAAUUAUGGUGGAAUUCUCUAUUCAAGAAGCAGCAGCAAAAGAUAAUUGUGAAGGACAUGACAGAGGAUGUGCUUCGUGAAGGUGCACGAAAGACUGCUGGAUUUUCGGGACGCGAGAUUGCAAAGCUCAUGGCUAGUGUCCAAGCGGCUGUAUAUGGGCGCCCUAAUUGCAUGUUGGACUCGGAGCUCUUUAUGGAAAUAGUGAACUAUAAGGUCACCGAGCAUCAUCAACGCACCAAGCUUGCUACAGAAGCCAUAUAUUGAGAACUACAAUAUGGAGUUAUCCUAGCUACAUAUCUCCCUUGGCGGAUCGAUCACAUUGAUCCCAAUUUUUCGCUAAUAAUUUUCAGGAGCCUUUCGAUCGCUGGAAUGGCAAUUGUUCUUUACAAAUCCGUUUCUGCAGAAGGCUCUUCAACGGAGUCUUGUAAGUGCAAGCAAUCAACAGACAAAAUGUACGAGAGACGUGCAGCAAGAAAAGAUCUUCCACACUGCAACCUUUUUGCUUUCCCUUCCGACUCACCAGCAUUUUAUUUGGAUGAUGAUUCUGAAUAAUCUUUCAUGAGAAAAGGAAACCGAAUUAUUGGGUUGCUCGAAAGUCCAUUAUCUCCUCCCUAAAUCAAUCAUUCAUCCUGGAUUUUACUUGGUUUUAGGA